CGAUGGCAUAUAUCACAUUGGGAGAUGUGCAGGCUGCAGGAUGUCGUCCAUAUUUUGCUCCAGCUCAUCCUAUCCUCCCAUGGGACAGGGAAGGGAAACGGCUGCGGAGGAGCCAGUUCAGAGUUUCCAGUUUCCAAACCUAAUGUCAUUUUGCAGCUGGAACGAGGGGAAGAGCCGUGGGUCCCAGAUCUCCAAGUCUUUGAGAAAGAAGUGCUCCCGAGAGCUGCCUACACAGGCGCAGGGAGUGAUCUGUGUCUGGAUUCUCUCUGUCUCCCAUCAGGUGAUGGGAUGGUGAGUGAUAACGAGGAGGAGAAACCUCAGCAGGAAGAUGCUGAGCAAGUAGAAGCACAUGGGACAUUAUCAGGAAGAUCCAAAGGGAAUGUUUCCGGGAUUUGUGCACGCCUAGAAAAAGCAAAAGCCUGUGAGACUGAGCAGAGGCCAGAGGAAAACUUCAGUAGCUUCUCAGACCAUAUUUCAAGUGAGAGAAUCAAUUCGGAAGACACACGUUACACAUGCCAUGAGUGCGGGAAAUGCUUCAAUUGGAGUUCAUACCUUAUCAGACAUCAGAUAAUCCACACAGGAGAGACUCCCCACACAUGCUCUGUGUGUGGGAAAAGCUUCAACCAGCGCUCAAACCUUAUCACACAUUGGAGAAUCCACAUGAGGGAGAAGCCCUACACGUGCACUGAGUGUGGGAAAGGCUUUAGUGAGCACUCAAACCUUAUCACACAUCGGAGAAUCCACACAAGGGAGAAGCCCUACACGUGCACUGAGUGUGGGAAAAGCUUCAAACAGCGCUCACAUCUUAUCACACAUCAGAGAAUCCACACCGGAGAGAUGCCUUAUAGGUGCACUGAGUGCGGAAAAAUCUUCAAACAAAGCUCAAACCUUAUCACACAUCGGAGAAUCCACACAGGAGAGACGCCCUACACAUGCUCUGAGUGCGGGAAAGGCUUCAAUCAGCGCUCAAACCUUAUCACACAUCAGAGAAUCCACACGGGCAAGACGCCCUACACGUGCUCUGAGUGCGGGAAAAGCUUCAAACAGCGCUCAGACCUUACCACACAUUGGAGAAUCCACACAGGAGAGACUCCCUACACAUGUUCUGAGUGUGGGAAAGGCUUUAGUGAGUACUCAAAUCUUAUCAGACAUCGGAGAAUCCACACGAGGGAGAAGCCCUACACUUGCACUGAGUGUGGGAAAAGUUUCAAACAACGCUCACACCUUAUCACACAUCAGAGAAUCCACACAGGAGAGACGCCUUUCACAUGUUCUGAGUGUGGGAGAAGCUUCAAUCAGCGCUCAAAUCUUAUCACACAUUGGAGAAUCCACACAAGAGAGAAGCCCCUACACAUGCUCUGAGUGAGGGAAAAGCUUCAAUCAGCUCUCACACCUUAUCAAACAUCAGAGAAUCAACAUAGGAUGCGGAAUACUGUCCAUGUUUCGCUCCAGUUCAUCCCGUCCUCUCGUUGGACAGGGAAGAGAAAUGGCUGCAGAGGAGCCAGUUCAGGAUCAUGUGCAGAACAUGGAAGAUCUGGCUUUCCCUAAAUGCCGUAGAGUGUGAGUUCCUGGGCAAGGACAGGGGAGAGGGAGCAAGAGGAGAAAGGCAGAGACAUUGGAGAAGAGACAGAACACAGAGAGACAAUAAAUGAUUGAAGCAGAACAGUCUCCCAACUUGAUCCUGCUCAUCACAGGUGUUCACAGACACAGGUAGUUGCAGGUUUUCCAGUAUCAAGUCUGAAUUUUGAUUCUAACAAUUUGAGUUCAAAUAUCAAGGGGAUUUCCACAGACCUGAUCUCGUCCCCCUCCCCUUUUUAGUAUUAAUUUUUAUUUUGAAGUGUUUGGCUUAACCGUGAUCUUCUCUUUCCCCAUCUGUAUUACAACUUGGGGUUUAUGUUUAUUUUGCCUCCCUUUUGUUUGUAACAGCAAAGGAAUCUGCAGGAGCAAAAACUGCCUCUCAACUUUAUUUCCCCAUCAUGCAGGAACAUCAUACAAACAGCUCACACAGCUGGAAUCAUAACACAGAAGGCCAGGGGAUGGGAGAUGCAGGUUUCCAAGUGUUCUGUCUUUCUCAGAUGACACAUUCCAGCCCCUUGUAUGCCUCCAUCCUGUAGGACCUGCUGGAUUUUGACACAUUUAUUAUCUCAUUCUAUUGAUAACGUGAUUGUAACACAAUAUGAGUGAAAUUAAACCACUUCUAGACAAGGAAAUAACAGAAGAGAGACGCCAUUAUUGCAUUGGCUGGGAAUCCAACCCAGCUCAACUGCUUGGAAGGCAGCUAUGCACAACACUAUACCACCAACACAUCUGGCAGGAGGAGCUUUCCUGCAGGCUCUGUGUGCUGGCAAGGGGGUGACAUAUCACCAUAGAGUUAAUGAGCAGGGUGGAUGGGCUGGAAGCUCCCUGACAGCUGGGAGCAGAGUUAGGAUCCCAGAGUGACUGAAAGAGGGCAAAGGUGAAAACAGAUCUCAUUGGGAGCUGGUCCCCGCGCCCCCAGGAGAGGGGAACUGAAGCUCAACUUCACUCAUAGAAAAAUCUUCCCUCAGAAGGAAGCAGACAGCUUGUUUUAAAGACAAGGCUUGUGUUUGUUCCUGCUACAUACGGAGGGGCUGGGUAGUGCUGAUUCCAGGCCCCCGACUCUGGGAGGAUAAGGAACAAAUUCAGGCUGCCAGUGACCUGCAGGAGGGAGAUGAUCUUUUGACAGUGACAGAUGCCUCGUCCUAAAGGCCUUUGUCUACCCCCUUCCAGUGACUAUUUGGUACAGGAAUGCAGCCACCACUCCUGGGUCUCUCCUGGGGAAAUAAUGAUUCUGUGCAAAACACCAAAGCUUUUAACAGAAAGGAAGAAAAGGAAAUGGCAACACGAUGGGACUAGCAUGUAAGGAAUGAAACACAAGAUGCUUCUCCCAUGUGCAUUGACUUUUAACCUUGGUUGUAGUGUUGUUGUAUCCCUGUUGGUCCCAGGGGUCCUCUGGGGCACCUGACAUUGGUCAUUUUCAGAAGACUGGACAGUGGGCUAGAUGAACUGCUCUGACUCAGUAUGGUUGUUCUUAUGUUCUAACUGCUGUUUAUGAAAGAGAUGGCCUUUCAGGCUACACAGAACUGAAGCAGGGUGCUGGGUUAGCUCCAAAGCUUGUCUCUUUCACCAACAGAGGUUGGUCCUCUACAAGCUCUUACCCCCCCCCCCCUUGUCUCUCUUGGCCUCUGAAAAGUGUUUUCUCUCCACUCCCUUUGCAGAGAAGUUAAGUUUCCCUUUGGGCAACUGUCAGGCUGAAGCAGUUGUAUUGACUGUGACACUAGAAUGGAAGCUUUAUUAUAAUAAAUAAAUGAGUCUAAA
This is an RNA transcript of Gopherus evgoodei (Goodes thornscrub tortoise), 3336 nucleotides long. It is a transcript of the gene named gastrula zinc finger protein XlCGF8.2DB-like, with no coding region annotated. The record is from RefSeq and is a predicted model, not a curated record. NCBI's taxonomy places the organism in Eukaryota, Metazoa, Chordata, Testudines, Testudinidae. The transcript has 6 exons.